AGGACGAACGCUGGCGGCGUGCUUAACACAUGCAAGUCGAGCGGAAAGGCCCACUUGUGGGUACUCGAGCGGCGAACGGGUGAGUAACACGUGAGUAAUCUGCCCUUCACUCAGGGAUAACUUCCAGAAAUGGGUGCUAAUACCUGAUAUGACCUGUCCCUGCAUGGGGGUGGGUGGAAAGUUUUUUCGGUGGGGAUGUGCUCGCGGCCUAUCAGCUUGUUGGUGGGGUGAUGGCCUACCAAGGCGACGACGGGUAGCCGGCCUGAGAGGGCGACCGGCCACGACUGGGACUGAGACACGGCCCAGACUCCUACGGGAGGCAGCAGUGGGGGAAUAUUGCACAAUGGGCGCAAGCCUGAUGCAGCGACGCCGCGUGAGGGAUGACGGCCUUCGGUUGUAAACCUCUUUCAGCAGGGACGAAGCGUGAGUGACGGUACCUGCAGAAGAAGCGCCGGCCAACUACGUGCCAGCAGCCGC
RNAcentral lists this ribosomal RNA (477 nucleotides) under uncultured bacterium. RNAcentral's name for it is "SSU rRNA". It matches the Rfam family "Bacterial small subunit ribosomal RNA", at positions 26 to 518 of the family's 1533-position model. The record is from RNAcentral.